Rhododendron vialii is the source of this 591-nucleotide long non-coding RNA. RefSeq lists it as uncharacterized. The record is from RefSeq and is a predicted model, not a curated record. The transcript has 4 exons. NCBI's taxonomy places the organism in Eukaryota, Viridiplantae, Streptophyta, Magnoliopsida, Ericales, Ericaceae.
AUGAAUGGUCAAUUUGAUGAACUACGUAAAGAAAAUGUUCAGUUGAAGUCUCAAAUGGCAGAUAUGAAAAAUACAGUUGACGAGUGGAAGAAAAGCCAAGUUCAAAUUUCGGCAACAUUUGACGGAACACCAACUACACCCAUUGUUUCUCCCUCGAUUGUGAACAUCAGUCAGAAUAUCAAGUGCAAGUUGCUAGAUUGGAUGGGGACGGGAGACAUAGUUGCUGAGGGGCGUUGGUCUUCAAGUGAUCCAAAUGAAAGAUGUCAUUGUGUUCUGAUCGGACCUAACUCAAUGAAAGUUUGGGUGGAUGUAGCAAAGUGUUUCUUUGGAGGCCUACAAGUGAUCUGACCUAUGUCGUUGAUGCUGUACUACCAUCGCGUGGCCUGCUAGUCAAGUUAUUAUGGACUCUUCGCCGGGGUCGAUUGGUUGAAAGAGAAGAUCAAUAUUUCAUCACUUUUUGCUCGAGAUGGAGAUUAUGAUCUUCCUAGUGUUGGACGUUGGAUCUCAAUUGAAGUUUUUGCAUUGAUAUCUCCUGUUUUUUUGUAGAGCCUCAAUACUCCUUUUUUGUAUGAAGACAUAGCUGGGGUGCUC